Molecule: transfer RNA, 125 nt
Filed under: Occallatibacter sp.
Lineage: Bacteria; Pseudomonadati; Acidobacteriota; Terriglobia; Terriglobales; Acidobacteriaceae
Description: tRNA-His
Source: RNAcentral
GCUCUCGUGGCACUUGGCAAAACGACUUAUUAAUAUUCUUGCAGCCUCUUGCAGCACCCUGCAAUGAGGCCUAAAAAGGACUAUGAAUCAGUAGGUCGAGAGUUCGAAUCUCUCCGGGCGCACCA